GGUGCUAUAGUGUAGUGGUUAUCACUCGGGAUUUUGAGAAAGAGCUUCCCGGAACCCAGGUUCGAACCCUGGUAGCACCU
This is a transfer RNA of Trametes versicolor FP-101664 SS1, 80 nucleotides long. It matches the Rfam family "tRNA". From Rfam's summary of the family: Transfer RNA (tRNA) molecules are approximately 80 nucleotides in length. The record is from Rfam. NCBI's taxonomy places the organism in Eukaryota, Fungi, Basidiomycota, Agaricomycetes, Polyporales, Polyporaceae.